RNAcentral lists this ribosomal RNA (253 nucleotides) under uncultured bacterium. RNAcentral's name for it is "partial 16S ribosomal RNA". It matches the Rfam family "Bacterial small subunit ribosomal RNA", at positions 524 to 776 of the family's 1533-position model. The record is from RNAcentral.
UACGUAGGCAGCGAGCGUUGUUCGGAGUUACUGGGCGUAAAGCGUGCGUAGGCGGUGUCUUAAGUUUGUUGUGAAAUCUCCCGGCUUAACCGGGAGGGUGCGGCGAAUACUGAGAUGCUGGAGUGCGGGAGAGGUAAGCGGAAUUCCUGGUGUAGCGGUGAAAUGCGUAGAGAUCGGGAGGAACACCAGCGGCGAAGGCGGCCCCCUGGGCCGCUCCUGACGCUGAGACGCGAAGGCCAGGGUAGCGAACGGG